This 455-nucleotide ribosomal RNA is filed under the name uncultured bacterium. Its description in RNAcentral is "bacterial SSU rRNA". It matches the Rfam family "Bacterial small subunit ribosomal RNA", at positions 340 to 784 of the family's 1533-position model. The record is from RNAcentral.
UACGGAAGGCAGCAGUGGGGAAUAUUGCACAAUGGGCGAAAGCCUGAUGCAGCUAUGCCGCGUGUAUGAAGAAGGCCUUAGGGUUGUAAAGUACUUUCAUCGGGGAGGAAAAAACAAAACUAAUAAUUUUAUUUCUUGACGUUACCCGAAAAAGAAGCACCGGCUAACUCCGUGCCAGCAGCCGCGGUAAUACGGAGGGUGCUAGCGUUAAUCAGAAUUACUGGGCGUAAAGAGCACGUAGGUGGUUUUUUUAAAGUCAGAUGUGAAAUCCCUGGGCUUAACCUAGGAACUGCAUUUUGAAACUGAAAUACUAGAGUAUCGUAGAGGGAGGUAGAAUUCUAGGUGUAGCGGUGAAAUGCGUAGAUAUCUGGAGGAAUACCUGUGGCGAAAGCGGCCUCCUAAACGAAUACUGACACUGAGGUGCGAAAGCGUGGGGAGCAAACAGGGAUUAGAUA